UUCCUCCGCUUAUUGAUAUGCUCCGCAGGUUCACCUACGGACAGAAUUCAGUGAAUCAUCGAAUCUUUGAACGCACAUUGCGCCCUUUGGUAUUCCAAAGGGCAUGCCUGUUCGAGCGUCAUUUGUACCCUCAAGCUUUGCUUGGUGUUGGGCGUCUUGUCUCUAGCUUUGCUGGAGACUCGCCUUAAAGUAAUUGGCAGCCGGCCUACUGGUUUCGGAGCGCAGCACAAGUCGCACUCUCUAUCAGCAAAGGUCUAGCAUCCAUUAAGCCUUUUUUUUCAACUUUUGACCUCGGAUCAGGUAGGGAUACCCGCUGAACUUAAGCAUAUCAAUAAGCGGAGGAA
Molecule: ribosomal RNA, 344 nt
Filed under: uncultured organism
Description: eukaryotic LSU rRNA
Rfam family: 5.8S ribosomal RNA (bases 1-121)
Source: RNAcentral